GUUUUUGUGGUUAAAUAAUAACGGCGGUUUUUCAGGCCGCAGGUCCAGGUUAGAUUCUUGGCAGAAAUA
This 69-nucleotide transfer RNA is filed under the name Heleophryne purcelli (Cape ghost frog). Its description in RNAcentral is "tRNA-Glu". It matches the Rfam family "tRNA". From Rfam's summary of the family: Transfer RNA (tRNA) molecules are approximately 80 nucleotides in length. Their secondary structure includes four short double-helical elements and three loops (D, anti-codon, and T loops). Lineage: Eukaryota; Metazoa; Chordata; Amphibia; Anura; Heleophrynidae. The record is from RNAcentral. RNAcentral also lists the same sequence under 1 other name.